AAUUACUUGUUUGCUUUAAUUCUUUGUUUUAUUUUUUUUAUAGAAAUAACUUUUUUCUUAGUAAAUUUUAUUGAAUUGAUUUUUAGGCGUUAGUUUAUAGUACUGUGAGGGAAAAUUUUUAUUUAGUUAGAAGUAGUUUUAUUUUAAUGUACCUUUUGUAUCAGGGUUAAUUAAGUUAUAUUAGUUAUCUAGUUUUCCCGAAAUUUGGGGGGAUAUAAUUAAAUGUUAGUUAAUGUUUCAUAAUUAUUGAUAAUUUAAUUAUUGUAAUGAUAAGUUAUUCGUUCUUGAAUAUCUGGUUCUCUAAGAAUUAAAUUUAAUUUAGGAUCAUUAAUAUUAGGUAAAAUUUAAUUUAGUUUAUGAUCUAAUGUUAUUGGGGAUAAGCUCAUUAAUAUUUAUAUAACUUUAAUAAUAUAAAGUUAGAGUAGGCUUAGAAUCAGCCAUCUUUAAUUUCGUUAUAGAUUAUUCUUUUUAUUUAUUUAUUUUUUAAUGGUUUAGUUUUUUAUUAGGGGGUUAAUUUAAUUUUGAAGUUUAUGUAAUAAUGAUUAUAUUAGUAUACUUGUUAUUUAUAUCAUAGGAAUUCGGCAAUUUUUAUAUCCGCCUGUUUAACAAAAACAUGUUCUUUUGUUAUUUAUAUAAGGUUUGGCCUGCCCAAUGAAUUUUUAAUGGCCGCGGUAUCUUAACCGUGCUAAGGUAGCAUAAUCAUUUGUCUUUUAAUUAAGGGCUUGAAUGAAGGGUUGGACGAGAUAUAAACUUUCUUUGAUUUAAAUGUAGAAUUUAUCUUUUUAGUUAAAAGACUAAAAUUAAUUUAUGGGACGAGAAGACCCUAUAGAUCUUUAUAUAAAAUUUAUUAAGAGUAUUUGGUUUAAUUAUUUUUUUAAUUUGUUUUUUAUUUAAUUGGGGUGAUUGCAGAGAAUUAUUAACUUCUGUUUAUUAAUUCAUUGAUUAGUGUUUUAAUGAUCCAUUUUUUUUGAUUGUAAGAUUAAGUUACCUUAGGGAUAACAGCGUAAUUUUUAUGGAGAGUUCUUAUCGAUAUAAAAGUUUGCGACCUCGAUGUUGGAUUAAAAUAAGUGUUAGGUGUAGCAGCUUAAUAACUAGGUCUGUUCGACCUUUAAUUUUUUACAUGAUCUGAGUUCAGACCGGCGUGAGCCAGGUCAGUUUCUAUCUUUAAUUAUUUUCUAUAUUUUAGUACGAAAGGACCAAUUAUAGGCAAUAAUUGUUUAUUGUUGAUUGAUAUU
This 1235-nucleotide ribosomal RNA is filed under the name Melanolestes picipes. Its description in RNAcentral is "partial large subunit ribosomal RNA". The stretch from base 995 to 1153 matches the Rfam family "Archaeal large subunit ribosomal RNA", at positions 2542 to 2701 of the family's 2987-position model. The record is from RNAcentral. Lineage: Eukaryota; Metazoa; Arthropoda; Insecta; Hemiptera; Reduviidae.